Molecule: ribosomal RNA, 292 nt
Filed under: uncultured bacterium
Lineage: Bacteria
Description: partial 16S ribosomal RNA
Rfam family: Bacterial small subunit ribosomal RNA
Source: RNAcentral
GUGUCAGCCGCCGCGGUAAUACGAAGGGGGCUAGCGUUGCUCGGAAUUACUGGGCGUAAAGGGCGCGUAGGCGGAUGUUUAAGUCAGAGGUAAAAGCCCAGGGCUCAACCUUGGAACUGCCUUUGAUACUGGACAUCUUGAGUACGGGAGAGGUGUGUGGAACUCCGAGUGUAGAGGUGAAAUUCGUAGAUAUUCGGAAGAACACCAGUGGCGAAGGCGACACACUGGCCCGUUACUGACGCUGAGGCGCGAAAGCGUGGGGAGCAAACAGGAUUAGAUACCCCAGUAGUCC